RNAcentral lists this ribosomal RNA (468 nucleotides) under uncultured bacterium. Its description in RNAcentral is "partial 16S ribosomal RNA". It matches the Rfam family "Bacterial small subunit ribosomal RNA", at positions 28 to 507 of the family's 1533-position model. The record is from RNAcentral.
GACGAACGCUGGCGGCGUGCUUAACACAUGCAAGUCGAACGGAAAGGCCCUGCUUUUGUGGGGUGCUCGAGUGGCGAACGGGUGAGUAACACGUGAGUCACCUGCCCUUGACUUUGGGAUAACUUCAGGCAACUGGGGCUAAUACCGGAUAGGAGCUCCUGCUGCAUGGUGGGGGUUGGAAAGUUUCGGCGGUUGGGGAUGGACUCGCGGCUUAUCAGCUUGUUGGUGGGGUAGUGGCUUACCAAGGCUUUGACGGGUAGCCGGCCUGAGAGGGGGACCGGCGACAUGGGGACUGAGAGACGGCCCAGACGCGUACGGGUGGCAGCGGUGGGGAAUAUGGCACAAUGGGCGGAAGCCUGAUGCAGCAGCGCCGCGUGCGGGAUGACGGCCUUCGGGGUGUAAACCGCUUUAGCCUGUGACGAAGCGUGAGUGACGGUAAUGGGUAAAGAAGCACCGGCUAACUACGUG